Molecule: ribosomal RNA, 449 nt
Filed under: uncultured bacterium
Lineage: Bacteria
Description: partial 16S ribosomal RNA
Rfam family: Bacterial small subunit ribosomal RNA
Source: RNAcentral
AAUGAACGCUGGCGGCAGGCCUAACACAUGCAAGUCGAACGGAUCCUUCGGGAUUAGUGGCGGACGGGUGAGUAACGCGUGGGAACAUACCCUUUGGUACGGAAUAGCCUCGGGAAACUGGGAGUAAUACCGUAUGCUGUCGAGAGACGAAAGAUUUAUCGCCAAAGGAUUGGCCCGCGUUGGGUUAGGUAGUUGGUGGGGUAAUGGCCUACCAAGCCGACGAUCCAUAGCUGGUUUGAGAGGAUGGUCAGCCACACUGGGACUGAGACACGGCCCAGACUCCUACGGGAGGCAGCAGUGGGGAAUCUUAGACAAUGGGGGAAACCCUGAUCUAGCCAUGCCGCGUGAUCGAUGAAGGCCUUAGGGUUGUAAAGAUCUUUCAGGUGGGAAGAUAAUGACUGUACCACCAGAAGAAGCCCCGGCUAACUCCGUGCCAGCCGCCGCAGUAA